GAAGUAUUUUUCAUUGUGAGCUUAAACUUCUCUUACAUUAAGAAAUCAAGAAUCAAGGUCUUAAAAGUCUCUGGAAAUGGACUAUUUUCCAGCAUCCAUUAUUGCACUAUUCCUAAUGUUUGGCAGAAAUAAUGGAGACUCAGUGACUCAAAUGGAAGGCCAACUGAUCCUUUCAGAGAAAGAUCCCCUGACUGUGAACUGCUCCUAUCCAAGCUCACUGCAUCCUACACUAUUCUGGUAUGUCCAAUACCCUGGAGAAAAUCUACAGGUCUUUCUGAAAGCUACAAAGGACAAGGAGAAGGGAAGCAACAAAGGUUUUGAAGCCAUGUAUGAUAAAGGAACCAGCUCCUUCCACUUGAAGAAAGCCUCAGUGCAGGCCUCAGACUCGGCUGUGUACUACUGUGCUCUGAGUGACACAGUGGCAUGAACCACAGGAGGAGCUGAGCACAAACUCCUAGAAGAGGCCUAGGGCCUGAUUUCUGAGUGUCUGUCUCUGGAGUCACUCUAGUUCAAGGACCAAGAACUAGAGUUUUACUGUUGCCGAAUACCACAGUAUUAUGGAGUAAAAGUCAUCCAAAUCAAUUCCAAAAAUCAGUAGAAGAACAAGAAAUAAAUGUUUCUCACACAAGAUGUUUGCACAGCAUGAAAGAGAAUAGUCUAUCUUGAUAGUUUCUCAACCAUGACAUAGCAUUGUGAUUCUAAAAGCAUAAAACUUCAAAAUAAAUAAAAUGCUCUCUAUGUUUAUUCUUACACAUAAGUGGUCUCCCUGGUACUGUCCCAGUGAUCCAAGAACAUUACCUCUAGUCAUACAGCUGUGGCA
Molecule: non-coding RNA, 820 nt
Organism: Cavia porcellus (domestic guinea pig)
Lineage: Eukaryota; Metazoa; Chordata; Mammalia; Rodentia; Caviidae
Source: the annotation of a RefSeq genome assembly